RNAcentral lists this ribosomal RNA (253 nucleotides) under uncultured bacterium. RNAcentral describes it as "partial 16S ribosomal RNA". It matches the Rfam family "Bacterial small subunit ribosomal RNA", at positions 524 to 776 of the family's 1533-position model. The record is from RNAcentral.
CACGUAGGGUGCGAGCGUUGUCCGGAAUUAUUGGGCGUAAAGAGCUCGUAGGCGGUCCGUCACGUCGGAUGUGAAAUUCCAGGGCUCAACCCUGGACCUGCAUUCGAUACGGGCGGACUAGAGUUCGGUAGGGGAGACUGGAAUUCCUGGUGUAGCGGUGAAAUGCGCAGAUAUCAGGAGGAACACCGGUGGCGAAGGCGGGUCUCUGGGCCGAUACUGACGCUGAGACGCGAAAGCGUGGGGAGCAAACAGG